Molecule: ribosomal RNA, 319 nt
Filed under: uncultured Barnesiella sp.
Lineage: Bacteria; Pseudomonadati; Bacteroidota; Bacteroidia; Bacteroidales; Barnesiellaceae
Description: bacterial SSU rRNA
Rfam family: Bacterial small subunit ribosomal RNA
Source: RNAcentral
UGAGGAAUAUUGGUCAAUGGGCGCAGGCCUGAACCAGCCAAGUCGCGUGAGGGAAGACGGUCCUACGGAUUGUAAACCUCUUUUGUCGGGGAGUAACGUGCGGGACGCGUCCCGUAUUGAGAGUACCCGAAGAAAAAGCAUCGGCUAACUCCGUGCCAGCAGCCGCGGUAAUACGGAGGAUGCGAGCGUUAUCCGGAUUUAUUGGGUUUAAAGGGUGCGCAGGCGGCGCGCCAAGUCAGCGGUCAAAGUUCCGGGCUCAACCCGGUGUCGCCGUUGAAACUGGCGUGCUCGAGUGCGUGCGAGGAAGGCGGAAUGGCGU